UAUGCUGAAGUCCGCUGGAUGGGGCGCUUAGUUGUUAACUAAUUUUUUUACGGGAUCGAAGCCCGUCAGCCUGG
This 74-nucleotide transfer RNA is filed under the name Cnemaspis huaseesom. RNAcentral's name for it is "tRNA-Asn". The record is from RNAcentral. Lineage: Eukaryota; Metazoa; Chordata; Lepidosauria; Squamata; Gekkonidae.